This 89-nucleotide transfer RNA is filed under the name Medakamo hakoo. RNAcentral's name for it is "trnS-GCU". It matches the Rfam family "tRNA". From Rfam's summary of the family: Transfer RNA (tRNA) molecules are approximately 80 nucleotides in length. Their secondary structure includes four short double-helical elements and three loops (D, anti-codon, and T loops). Further hydrogen bonds mediate the characteristic L-shaped molecular structure. tRNAs have two regions of fundamental functional importance: the anti-codon, which is responsible for specific mRNA codon recognition, and the 3' end, to which the tRNAs corresponding amino acid is attached (by aminoacyl-tRNA synthetases). tRNAs cope with the degeneracy of the genetic code in two manners: having more than one tRNA (with a specific anti-codon) for a particular amino acid; and 'wobble' base-pairing, i.e. permitting non-standard base-pairing at the 3rd anti-codon position. Lineage: Eukaryota; Viridiplantae; Chlorophyta; Trebouxiophyceae; Coccomyxaceae. The record is from RNAcentral.
GGAGGGAUGGCUGAGUGGCUGAAGGCAUUGGUUUGCUAAAUCAACGUAUAAUUCUCAUUAUACCAUGGGUUCAAAUCCCAUUUCCUCCG